UGAGUAGCUGGGAUUAGAGGCGUCCAUCACCACACCCGGCUAAUUUUUGUAUUAGGGUUUUGAAAUGGGGUUGCGCCAUGUUGGCCGGGCUGGUCUUGAACUUCUGUCCUCAAGUGAUCAACCCGCCUCGGCCUCCCAAAGUGCUGGGAUUACAGGUGUGAGCCACCGCACCCAGCCAUCCUCCUUUAAUUUUAAAAAAUAGAUAUGGGAUCUUGUGACACUUCCCAAGCUGGUCUCAAGUGAUUCUCCUGCCUUAGCCUCUCCUGUGAGUAACUGGUAUUACAGACGCAAGCCACCACUCCUGGCUUUUUUUCUUUAAAAUACAUUUUAUGUGUUAGAGGAAGUUUACAUUCACAGCAAAAUUGAGCAGAAGGUACAGUUCUGUAUGCUUCCAUUCUCCGUUUUUGCAAUUGCGAUCUUACUAUAAGUAGAGUUUCUGGUAUCUUGACUCAAUUCCUAUGUUGACUUUUUAUAAACAUAACUAGCCAAACCCUUGUCCCUUCAUGUUUCCACUCAAUCAUGCUAUCGGGCUUUCACCUGCUAAAUGCAGGAAUAGUUGGUGUCAAGGAAGUCAGAUUCUAGAUCCUCCAACUUCCCCAUGUACUUGCUGUUAGGUUAUUUAAUUAAUAUUCAUUUAGCAAAUCUUAGUUAAGACUUUUGGUAUACUUCCCAGAAACUUUUUUCUAAUAUGCAAGGUCUUGCACUGUUUCCCAGGCUGGCAUGCAGUGACACAAUCAUAGCUUACUGCAACCUUCAAUUCCUGGGCACAAGGGAGCCUCCUGCCUCAGCUGGGAUUCCAGGUGUGAGCCACGGUGCCCAGCUGUUUUCAAUAGAUCUGAAGGAAGACCAAAACAAAUUGUCACCUGAUAAAACAUUUAAAUGUUUUUGGUUAAUACUUACUAGCUUGAGAUACAAUAAAACCCCUUUUAUUGGCAUCUUCCUGUUUAUGUGAACAAGGUACCUAAUAAGCUUUCACGUAUGAAAAAAGUUGGAACAGAAUUAUAGCUGAAUCCGUCUCAUUGGAGCAAUCACAGUGCUAGAGAACUUAGAUACCGAUUUUUCUUUUUGAGACUUGAGUUUUGCUCUCCAGGCUGGAGUGCAGUGGUGCCAUCACAGCUUACUGCAACCUCCGCCGCCCGGGUUCGAGCCAUUCUCCUGCCUCAGUUUCCCAAGUAGCUGAGAUUACAGGCGCCCGCCACCACACCCGGCUAAUUUUUGUAUUUUCAGUAGAGACAGGGUUUCGCCAUGUUGUCCAGGCUAGUUUCGAACUCCUGAUCUCAGGUGAUAACACUCGCCUCAGCCUCCCAAGUGCUGGGAUUACAGGCGUGAGCCACCGCGCCCGGCCUAGAUACCGGUUUUCUACAGCAGAAAUAGUCACACUUUCUAAAGCAGAAGAGCUUUGGAGUCAGGCCCGAGCUGCAGUGGGGGAUGCUUUGCGAUCUCUCUUCAGCAAGCUGUUGUUUUAGGGACGUGGGGCCACUUUCCUUUAUUUGUACAAAAGAUGCCAGUGCCCACUUCAGAGUUGUGCUGCUCCGGGCCAGUUCAGCGAGUGCCCGUCGGCCCGGUGCUGUCGGUCACGUAAGUGGGCUCUUUGAGGUUCACAACGCGUCCUCCCUGGACGUUCUGGGCCUGUUAAGUUUGUGUCCGUGGGAAACGCUCACGGCGGUUCCCCAGGGGGCCGAGGGAGAAAAGUGAGGACGUUUCUGGUCGCCUGCCAUCUGCUAAAUAUCCUAGCAGGCACAAGGGCGCCCCCACGGGACUCGCCGGCCCGAAAGCCCGGGUGGGCCUCCAGCCCCGCCAUCUGAGACCCUCCGUCGCCGGCCCUUCCGGCGGCAGCGCCCGGAGCGGGUAGGAGGUGCCACGAACCGCCCCGCCUGUGCUCAGCUUUGUUGGGCUACGUCACUUCCGCCGCGGUCCCGCCCCCAGCGUGGUCGUAACCCAAGGCGACGGCGCGGCCGGCAGCGACCUGAGUAGCCCCUGCAAGUAGGCCGGGGCUAGUUGUCUCGGGGCCUUUCAUCCGCUCGGCCCCACAGGAAAAGACCACCAAUAUUCUCUUUCGGUAGCGGAGCGUCUUGAUCCUGCCUGAAGUACACCAGUGUUCUGAAGGUGCAUCUGGUGAUCUGCAAGAAGAUGUUAAAAACUUUAAGCAACCAUCACAGUAAUGGAUCUCUGUCAGAAAAAUGAGACUGACUUAGAAAAUGCUGAAAAUAAUGAAAUUCAAUUCACAGAAGAAACAGAACCAACCUAUACUUGUCCAGAUGGAAAAAGUGAAAAAAAUCAUGUUUAUUGUCUUCUCGAUAUCAGUGACAUUACGCUUGAACAAGAUGAAAAAGCCAAAGAGUUUAUUAUUGGAACUGGAUGGGAAGAGGCAGUCCAAGGGUGGGGAAGGACUUCUCCAGCUGCCUGCAUCUGGCCAAGGAAGACACCAAAAAAGGCGAGGGUAGGGGAAGGUGCCUGCAGCGAUUGCUUGGUGUGUGUUAACCUCUCCCACUGGAGCCUUGAGACCAAGCCUCCUACUGAGGGGGGCCCAGAGAAGGAUCAGAGCAGCCCCUCCCAGACUCAGGCAGCCCCCCAGGGCCCCAGCACUGCUUCCAGGGCAAUUAGCAACAUCUGCUUUCCCACCUACUUUCGAGCAGAGAAAAAAAGUCUGCAAAUCAAGGAGUUUAUUUGGUGCAACAAAGACUGGGCCAUUCCCGACACUAACAGGGGCAAGGCCCUUGGGAACCCCAGUGGAGGGGCCCACAGAGGGCUGUCCAUCCCAGGCCCCCUGACUUCCAGGGCCCUCCUAGUUCUGCCUCCCCUGAAGGCUUCACUUUCAAAUGCCUUGGAUGUUCUGGGUAAGAAGAGUAAGAACUCUUUCUUGCAGUCAGAAGAGAAGGUGCUAAGUGUGGAAAAGGAUGGGUGUGUGGCUUGUGCAUACGGCUUGAAAACAGCAGAUGAGAAAGGUGAAAAGAGACCCAGUGAGCUGGCCAAACACCCUAUGGUCAACAACACGCCAUCCUCCCCGUCCCCAGCGGCCCGGACAUCCCUGCUGGCCGAUCCGGAGCAGCGCUGCCUGCAUUGGUCCCUCCUGUCUGAGAAAAACCUGGCGUGCCCUCCAGACCCCAGCAACGUUCGCUACCUUGCUGCCUUGCAGCUUCUGCAGAAACGGGGAGUGCAAAACUACAAAUCCAAAUUCAAAGCCAAGGAGCCAAGAUCUCCUGUGAUCACCCAAAAGCACGUUCUCCCAAAGGCCAAGCAGGAAAACAGGCCCCAAAUGCUGGAGACCACAGUUUUCCCAAGACCUCUCUUGCCGUCUCUCACAGUGAGCAGAGUUGUCAUUCCUGUCUCUACCCACAGGAUCCUCUGAGCGGUCACGGUAGAACCCCUGGGAAUAAGCACCACUUGAGAUGCAGCCAUCGUUUCUCUUUCUUCUCUCUCAUUUCCAACCCACCCGCCACUCUCUUUCUCUCCUCCCCGUCAGUCUGUCUUUACUCUUCUUUUCCUCCAUUUUUUCUUUAUAGUACAGCCAAAGAAAACUGAACCUCAGUGGAUUGUUGGGAUUUAUUUUCUAAAACACCAUGUUCAUAUGUUACGUGCUUCUGCUACUGAGCUAUUCACAAAAUGCCAAUUGGUCUUGCCAGCCCCGGCCUCUGCCUGCCUCAUGUCCACUCCCAGCAGAAGCCACGCAGAAGGUGGGGAAUCCAAAGGGCCUCCUUCCCUCCAUGCUGGCCCCAGGUCAGCCCAGAGCCAUCUGGCAGGUGUCCUUUCUGCCCCACCCUUGUGCCUCAAAGUAAGUAUACUGGGCUGAUUUUUUGAAAGUGCCUCCUGAUUUUUUGAACGAAGCAGGUGUCUAUCUGCUGCCUCAUUUGCUUUUGCAACAAAGAUCUGAAGAAUUGCUUUAAUAAAAAACUCCAGGCCGGGCACGGUGGCUCACGCCUGUAAUCCCAGCACUUUGGGAGGCCAAGGCGGGUGGAUCAUCUGAGGUCAGGAGUUUAAGACCAGCCUGACCAACAUGGAGAAACCCUGUCUCUACUAAAAUAAUACAAAAUUAGCCGGGUGUGGUGGCGCAUGCCUGUAAUCUCAGCUACGCAGGAGGCUGAGGCAGGAGAAUUGCUUGAACCCGGGAGACAGAGGUUGUGGUGAGCCGAGAUCGUGCCAUUGUACUCCAGCCUGGGCAAUAAGAGUGAAACUCCACCUCAAAAGAAAGAAAAGAAAACUCCAGCUUGGGUCCAGGACGUCCAAGGCAUCAGAGACCCUGUGUGUCCAGGGUGUCACACCCUCAGAUUAUUUCCAUGUAUAUACACUGUCUGUCGUCUCCUGCAUUUUCAGGGUGCCAUAUCCUCAGAUUCCACCCUCAUACUAAUCUCUCUGUCUGGAAGUUUUAGCUAUAGUGCUACAAAAUCCAGCCUGGGAAGCAGGUUAAGAAUAAUUACUUUUUGGGGCCAGGCGCGGUGGCUCACGCCUGUAAUCCCAGCACUUUGGGAGGCUGAGGCGGGCGGAUCACGAGGUCAGGAAAUCGAGACCAUCCUGGCUAACAUGGUGAAACCCCAUCUCUACUAAAAAUACAAAAAAUUAGCCGGGCAUGGUGGUGGGCUCCUGUAGUCCCAGCUACUCGGGAGACUGAGGCAGGAGAAUGGCGUGAACCCAGGAGGUGGAGCUUGCAGUGAGCAGAGAUCGCGCCACUGCACUCCAGCCUGGGCAACAGAGCGAGACCCCAUCUCAAAAAAAAAAAAAAAGAUUACUUUUUGGGAAAAAAAAUAAAAAGAUCACUGUGAUUAUCAUCCCACAUGCUUCCUUUGGCAUUACUUUGCAUCUAAUGUUUGGAAACCCUCAACCCCAGACACUUUUGGAAAGGGGCUGUUACUUUCUCCCUCUGUCCUUCCUCUACCCUCAUUUUACCCCAACUCAUAUUCCCACAGUUCUAUCUAAAUUAAAUGACAUUUGUAAAUGAUUUAUAUUUUAAAUGCCAAGUGAUGUUGCUAUAUAGACACAUGUUCUGAUGAACCGUUCUGUGAUACCAGUAAUCAUUAAGCUGCUUUGUAAUUACAUAGUUUGAAUUUGCUUAAGGUAGGUUGGACUUGAACUCUGGAUUUCCUGUCUCCUAAACGAUGGAGUAGACAGAAUAUAUGACUGUAUUUGUAAAUAUCUGCUUCCAUAGUGGUCUUUGUAAUGUCUUGUCUGUUUGCCUAGGGUUUUGUUUUGUUUUGUUUUGUUUUUUUGAGACAGAGUCUCGCUCUGUCACCCAGGCUGGAAUGCAGUGGCAUGAUCUUGGCUCGCUGUAACCUCUGCCUCCUGGGUUCAAGUGAUUCUCGUGCCCCAGCCUCCCAAGUAGCUGGUAUUACAGGUGCUCACCACCACACUCAGCUCAUUUUUGUAUUAUUAGUAGAGACUGGGUUUCUGGAGGUUGCAGUGAGCUGAGAUCACGCCAUUGUACUUCAGCCUGGGCAACAGAGCAAGACUGUCUCAAAAUAAAUAAAUAAAUAAAAUAAGAAUCCAAGGCCUCUUCCCAGACAUUAUCUCUUUUAAUCCUGCAUGUAUGCAUGGGAAUCAGGGAUCAUUUUCCUCUUCUAACCCAAGGAGAAAUUGUUCAACAGAGGGUUGGGUUUGGUCAGGACAGCAUUAAGGUUUGUAGCCUGGGUUUCUGAAGGCUCAAACUAUAUUUCACAGGUUGGGGACGUUUGAAGUACUAGGUGGAAAAUAUCACAUAAGGCAGGAAGGAGGGCUCAAGAAUGUCAUUUCUUCCUUUAAGAUGGGAACAAUUUUCAGACACAGGAUGUGGUGAAGAUGACCAGGUAGUGUAUGUUGAACUCCAGCAGAGAUCUGUGUUUUUCCUGAAUGCAUUGAGUGGAUCAAAUAUAACAAGCUGGAUAAUUUCCCUCUAAUGAAUAACUGACUGUUCAAAAUUGUAUGGAAGUCCUUUGGCCUGCAAGCUGGCAUUUGGAUAUUUGAUGAUGGGUCUUUACUCUCUAAUGGGUUCUCAGAACUUACCUUUGCAACUUGUCAACUAAGGUGCUCCUUGCUUGGGUCCAGUCCAUCUUAAUUCCCUGGCCUUUUUCCGCAUCUGGUUUUGCCUGUAUUUCCACUGUGCCAGUGUAAACACCAUCACUGUGCAGAUUAAGGCAUGACUCUUGUACUGAAUUUGUGCAUACGGAGGUGUUCCAGGAAAAAACUUUUCAAGUUCAAUCUCCUAGAUCAAAAAGCAUCUGUAUAUUUUUUUGGACACAGUCUCAGGAUAAAUCCAGUAUUCACUGCAAUAAGUAAAGAUAACCAUCUUCCUUUUUCCUAGGAGGUGAGAACCAUUAGGAUGUAUAUUUUUUAGUACCCCAGCUUUGCCACUGAGCAUUUCUGCCUUUGCCUAUAAAAUGAGCGAGUAGUGUCUGAAAUUUCCCUAGUUCUGUCAUUUUAAUGCAUUUAACUUGCCUGCAAACAUUAUUAUUAUAGAGACUCAAAAUGGUGAACAGUUGUUUCUGUUUCAGGUUUUUGUUUGUUUGUUUGUUUGUUGAGACGGAGUUUCGCUCUUCUUGUCCAAGCUGGAGUGCAAUGGCACAAUCUUGGCUCACUGCAACCUCUGCCUCCCGGGUUCAAGUGAUUCUCCUGCCUCAGCCUCCUGAGUAGCUGGGAUUACAGGCGUGCGCCACCACGCCCAGCUAAUUUUUGCAUUUUUAGUAGAGAGGGGGUUUCACCGUGUUAGCCAGGAUGGUCUCGAUCUCCUGACCUUGUGAUCCGCCCGCCUCGGCCUCCCAAAGUGCUGGGAUUACAGGCAUGAGCCACCACGCCCGGCCUGUUUCAGGUUUUGAUCAGUCUUGCUCUGGAUCCUGGCCUUUCUAAUGUGAAAAAAAAAAAAAACUAAAUGAAUUUCAGUUUAUACAUUUCAAAAGAUGAUGAUAGUAAAAACCCUAAAGAAAUUUUUUUUUAACCUAAGACCGUGGGCACUUAACCUUCUCUACCAACACAUACUUUUUUUUUUUUUUUUUUUUUGAGACAGAGUCUUCUUCUGUGGGCCAGGCUGGCAUGAUCUCAACCCACUGCAACCUCUGCCUCCCGGGUUCAAGCAAUUCUCCUGCCUCAGACUCACGAGUAGCUGGGAUUACAGCACAGGAAAAAGAAGAUAAAGUAGGAGAGGGAUCAGUUUCACAUUCAGUCCUAAGCAGCAAGACGGUUGAGAUGUAAUCAUAAAAGCAAAUAUUUCACCCAGGACAUGGAAAAGCGGCGGAUCACCAGAAAGUAGAGAGUCAAACGCUGCAAGCAGAAGCAGUAAGAAGACGCCAAGUUUGGAGCAAGGUCUUAUUUACACCUGCCAUGGUCAUCAGCUCGCUCUUUUAGGUCUCCCCAACCUGCCCCCGAAAAAGAGGUUAUAUGCAGAGGUAAUAUAAUAUAUGUACUUUUGAAAAUAACAAAGUCACCAUGGAGAUAAUUUCAAAACAAUUUAUUUUCAUUUUCAGAUAUAUUGGACUAUUUCACUGAUGCUAAAAAGAGUAUCACUUGUUUAAAUUUUUUGUUGUUUCUUUUUUGCAGCCUGAUGUUCUGUAAUAGUAACUUGCUUUGAAGUAAAGUAUGAAAAGUUAGUGGAGGGGCCAUGGUUGUGGUCUCUCAUAGGUCAAACUAUACUAUUUUGGAAUGCGUGGAGUUAGAACAAAGUUUUUAUUUUGUUAUUAAUUAGUAAAGCAAUAAAUUAAAUUGUCUUAC
Molecule: RNA transcript, 7668 nt
Organism: Pongo pygmaeus (Bornean orangutan)
Lineage: Eukaryota; Metazoa; Chordata; Mammalia; Primates; Hominidae
Gene: C18H16orf46
Gene name: chromosome 18 C16orf46 homolog
Exons: 5
Source: RefSeq, a predicted model, not a curated record